GCCCCCAUCGUCUAGCGGUUUAGGACACCUCUCUUUCAAGGAGGCAGCGGGGAUUCGACUUCCCCUGGGGGUA
Gossypium hirsutum (cotton) is the source of this 73-nucleotide non-coding RNA. NCBI's taxonomy places the organism in Eukaryota, Viridiplantae, Streptophyta, Magnoliopsida, Malvales, Malvaceae. The record is from Rfam.